Long non-coding RNA from Limulus polyphemus (Atlantic horseshoe crab), 629 nucleotides. RefSeq lists it as uncharacterized. The record is from RefSeq and is a predicted model, not a curated record. The transcript is spliced from 2 exons. NCBI's taxonomy places the organism in Eukaryota, Metazoa, Arthropoda, Merostomata, Xiphosura, Limulidae.
UCCUCUCUAUUGAGUAACUGUUGUUAGGCCUACGCUCUAAUUUUUGCUUAGGCUCUCUAAAUAGUUUCUCGAACAUGGAUAACAAAACAUAUAUAGAGAACCUGGUUUCAGCUUAUAAGGAAAGGUGUCGCUGACUUCCAUUGAACAUUUAACAUCUUCACGUAUAUUACCCCUUUUAAAGGAAAUCCAUGGUUCCUGUGGAUCGGACAAAAUAAACGUUACGGUAGAAUUCAACAAACCUUUUCACGGCGUUAUUUAUUCCAAAGGGUUCUACAACAAUGAUAAUUGCGUUUAUGUUAAACGUCCCUCCAUUAGGCCUAUCGAAUCCAUCUUUACAUUUCUAGUUCCGCUGAGAAACUGCGGAAGUGAAGUUCAGCCCGUGAAUUUAUCAGAGAGUCGUGAUUGGUGGUUUGAAAACACGAUCAUCAUACAAAACGAUCCGUACAUCCAAGAGAUGUGUGACCAAGCACUCCAGCUACGAUGCGUUUGGAAGCACACGUUUCUUCGAACCUUGUACGUCAAAUUAAAUAUUUCAGAUGUUUGAAUUGACUACCAGCUUUUAAAUUUUGAUGUCUCCGCCACUAUAGUGGCGAAUAUUUUCUUGAUUAAAAUAUUUCAUUGAAUGACUA